UACGGAAGGCAGCAGUGGGGAAUAUUGCACAAUGGGCGCAAGCCUGAUGCAGCCAUGCCGCGUGUAUGAAGAAGGCCUUCGGGUUGUAAAGUACUUUCAGUCGUGAGGAAGGUGUUAAGGUUAAUAACCUUAGCAAUUGACGUUAGCGACAGAAGAAGCACCGGCUAACUCCGUGCCAGCAGCCGCGGUAAUACGGAGGGUGCGAGCGUUAAUCGGAAUUACUGGGCGUAAAGGGCACGCAGGCGGUUAAUUAAGUUGGAUGUGAAAUCCCCGGGCUUAACCUGGGAAUGGCAUUCAAGACUGGUUAGCUAGAGUCUUGUAGAGAGGGGUAGAAUUCCAUGUGUAGCGGUGAAAUGCGUAGAGAUGUGGAGGAAUACCGGGUGGCGAAGGCGGCCCCUGGGACAAAGGCUGACGCUCAUGUGCGAAAGCGUGGGGAGCAAACGAGGAUUAGAUACC
RNAcentral lists this ribosomal RNA (456 nucleotides) under uncultured bacterium. Its description in RNAcentral is "bacterial SSU rRNA". It matches the Rfam family "Bacterial small subunit ribosomal RNA", at positions 340 to 786 of the family's 1533-position model. The record is from RNAcentral.